CCUACGCCCUCCCUGAGCCCCCCCACACCUCUCCCUGGCCCCUGCCCCCUCCCCAGGGCUCCCCACACCUUGCCCAGGGCCAGCACCCUCCCAGGGUGCUUUUUUCCAGUCUUUUGGAGUAAUUCAGCCAUGUGGUAGUGUUUGCUAGACUAAAGCGAUGAAUUUUUUCUUUUUUUCUUCAUGUGAUUUUUCUUCUCAGAAAGAAGUAUUGCUUCACAGGGCCCACCGCUUGCUAGGAGUAAGUAUCAACUACUGCAUGCCCCCAGUUUGCUAAACCUUCGUUGCCUAGGUUUCUCGGAGGAAUUUAUUCCAAGGAAUGAAUAAUAGCGGUGCCAAUAGCCCUGGAUGACAGAAGAGCCCCAGGCUCUGCAAGAGUGAGUUAUUUCAGCUGAUACCUGCUGUCUCGGGGAUCCAGGCACUGGGAUCACUAGCUGUCUAAAGUGGCCCAAAGGACAUUAUAGUUCAGUUGCCCUCUGUGAAGCACAGUUGUAGUAGGAGUACUCGGUCAUUUGCCUCUCAUUUAUUUUAUUUAGAAAGUGAGAAAAACAGUGAGAAAGAGGGAACCUUGGAAGCGCACAACAUACAGAAAACUGAAGAAAAAUAUCUUCGGCAGACCUGCUUCCUGGCUUUGCCUCUGGUCUGUGUCUUCACUAUGGACGUGCCUGGCAUUUACUGGGCUGUAUCUGAUGCCGGUUGCUGCUGUUGUGCUUUGUUGGGACUUGUGGAUUACCUUCCUGGCUUAGCUUUGGGCCUGCCUUGUUGCAACAACCUCGCCUGAUGAUCUGAGCUCUUGGUUGAAGCUGGUUGCUGCUCCUAGGUCUGUAUUGCUCACCUUGUUGUGGUACGGGGGGGUU
This 854-nucleotide long non-coding RNA is filed under the name Struthio camelus australis. RNAcentral's name for it is "lncRNA (ENSSCUG00000006857.1)". Lineage: Eukaryota; Metazoa; Chordata; Aves; Struthioniformes; Struthionidae. The record is from RNAcentral.